RNAcentral lists this ribosomal RNA (496 nucleotides) under uncultured bacterium. RNAcentral's name for it is "partial 16S ribosomal RNA". It matches the Rfam family "Bacterial small subunit ribosomal RNA", at positions 28 to 507 of the family's 1533-position model. The record is from RNAcentral.
GAUGAACGCUGGCGGCGUGCCUAAUACAUGCAAGUCGAGCGAACGGACGAGAAGCUUGCUUCUCUGAUGUUAGCGGCGGACGGGUGAGUAACACGUGGAUAACCUACCUAUAAGACUGGGAUAACUUCGGGAAACCGGAGCUAAUACCGGAUGAUAUUUUGAACCGCAUGGUUCAAAAGUGAAAGACGGUCUUGCUGUCACUUAUAGAUGGAUCCGCGCUGCAUUAGCUAGUUGGUAGGUAACGGCUUACCAAGGCAACGAUGCAUAGCCGACCUGAGAGGGUGAUCGGCCACACUGGAACUGAGACACGGUCCAGACUCCUACGGGAGGCAGCAGUAGGGAAUCUUCCGCAAUGGGCGAAAGCCUGACGGAGCAACGCCGCGUGAGUGAUGAAGGUCUUCGGAUCGUAAAACUCUGUUAUUAGGGAAGAACAUAUGUGUAAGUAACUGUGCACAUCUUGACGGUACCUAAUCAGAAAGCCACGGCUAACUACGUG